RNAcentral lists this ribosomal RNA (528 nucleotides) under uncultured bacterium. RNAcentral's name for it is "bacterial SSU rRNA". It matches the Rfam family "Bacterial small subunit ribosomal RNA", at positions 777 to 1304 of the family's 1533-position model. The record is from RNAcentral.
AAUAGAUACCCGGGUAGUCCAUGCAGUAAACGAUGAGAGCUAGGUAUUGGGAAUUUUCUCAGUGCCGCCGCUAACGCAGUAAGCUCUCCGCCUGGGAAGUAAAGUCGCAAGAUCGAAACUUAAAGGAAUUGACGGGGAUUAGAACAAUUGGUGGAUUAUGUGGUUUAAUUCGAAGGUACACGAAAACCUUACCAGCUCUUGACAUGUUAGUCGUAGGAAUAAGAAACUAUUCCGUCGGUUCGGCCGGACUAACACAGGUGCUGCAUGGCCGUCGUCAGCUCGUGUCGUGAGAUGUUGGGUUAAGUCCCAUAACGAGCGCAACCCUUGUCUCUAGUUGCUAACAGGUAAUGCUGAGGACUUUAGAGAGACUGACAGCGCUAAGCUGUAGGAAGGUGGGGAUGAAGUCAGGUCCUUAUGGCCCUUAUGGGCUGGGCUACACAUGUAAUACAAUGGUGACUACAAAGAGAAAUAUAGCAAUUGGGCGACCAGGAGCAAAUCUAUAAAAGUCAUCUCAGUCCGGAUUGGUCU